RNAcentral lists this ribosomal RNA (86 nucleotides) under Peribacillus simplex. Lineage: Bacteria; Bacillati; Bacillota; Bacilli; Caryophanales; Bacillaceae. The record is from RNAcentral.
CCCGUUCCCAUUCCGAACACGGCAGUUAAGCUCUUCAGCGCCGAUGGUAGUUGGGGGUUUCCCCCUGUGAGAGUAGGACGCCGCCA